GGGAUUUCAAAAGAUGCUCGUAGUGUUCUCAGUUCUGUAUGUCGUCACUUCCGCCGCCGUGUUGCCUAGCAACACUACCGCUACAAAGACAACUAAUACAAAUCAAGUGCUAGCCAAAAAAAGCGAGAGGUAACUGUGAGGGUCUAGUAAAUCCAUCGGAUGCAAAUCCGUGCUUAGCUUGCGAGUGUGAAGAAGGCGAGUACCGAUGUGGACAUUGGGACUGUGUGGAGCCGUUGUGUGUUGACAGUGUGAGCAGACCGGGCGAAUGCUGCAAGGUCUGCCCUAACGGUUGACCGCGCAUAUGGUUGAUGCAGGCGUUUCAUAUAGGCUGAUCUUUAUGAUAUGAGGCCGACUACUCCAAAACUUGUGUACAAUAGUUUGAUUUGUAACAUACUAAUGUUUGCUUUUUGAAAUAUUUCUUACAAUUUAUUUAAUCGUUAAUAGAAUGUUAGUGGUUAUAGAAAUAACUGAAUCGGAAUGUUUAUUAGAUAAUGGUUUGAGAAAAAAUAUUGGCCCUUUUUUUGUUAAUGAAUCGGCCAGAGUAGUUCCUUGCCGGAACGGCUUCAUCCCACCACGCCGUGUAAAUCCAGAUAAAAAAAAACACGCCCACUAUAUCAGCAUCAAAUAUCACACAAUAAAUCACGCGUACACUAAACUGAAACUGUUUACAUGCAAGUAGAUCCAUUACUAUGUUAAAUGGUUGUUUACUGUGUAAGUAGUUUAAUCAAUAAUCUAAAUAAAUCCGUUUGAGUUAUAAUCCUAUUACAUGUAAUUUCAAAAUUUUGUAUCAGCCUCAAUAGCCUAAUAACUACCAAGAUUUCUUCGAUUAACAAUUAGGUUUAUUAUCCUCCCAUUGAUUAAUUUUAUUACUGCCGUGUUUACUUUAUAACAGCAAGCCUACCAUUGGUAUGUGACUGAACAUUAAAAUAUGUAUAUCAUACAGGGAACAAUAACGAAAACCAUAAA
Physella acuta is the source of this 966-nucleotide long non-coding RNA. RefSeq lists it as uncharacterized. NCBI's taxonomy places the organism in Eukaryota, Metazoa, Mollusca, Gastropoda, Physidae. The record is from RefSeq and is a predicted model, not a curated record.